AGAGUUUGAUCAUGGCUCAGAUUGAACGCUGGCGGCAGGCCUAACACAUGCAAGUCGAGCGGUAACAGAAAGUAGCUUGCUACUUUGCUGACGAGCGGCGGACGGGUGAGUAAUGCUUGGGAACAUGCCUUGAGGUGGGGGACAACAGUUGGAAACGACUGCUAAUACCGCAUAAUGUCUACGGACCAAAGGGGGCUUCGGCUCUCGCCUUUAGAUUGGCCCAAGUGGGAUUAGCUAGUUGGUGAGGUAAUGGCUCACCAAGGCGACGAUCCCUAGCUGGUUUGAGAGGAUGAUCAGCCACACUGGGACUGAGACACGGCCCAGACUCCUACGGGAGGCAGCAGUGGGGAAUAUUGCACAAUGGGCGCAAGCCUGAUGCAGCCAUGCCGCGUGUGUGAAGAAGGCCUUCGGGUUGUAAAGCACUUUCAGUCAGGAGGAAAGGUUAACGGUUAAUACCCGUUAGCUGUGACGUUACUGACAGAAGAAGCACCGGCUAACUCCGUGCCAGCAGCCGCGGUAAUACGGAGGGUGCGAGCGUUAAUCGGAAUUACUGGGCGUAAAGCGUACGCAGGCGGUUUGUUAAGCGAGAUGUGAAAGCCCCGGGCUCAACCUGGGAACUGCAUUUCGAACUGGCAAACUAGAGUGUGAUAGAGGGUGGUAGAAUUUCAGGUGUAGCGGUGAAAUGCGUAGAGAUCUGAAGGAAUACCGAUGGCGAAGGCAGCCACCUGGGUCAACACUGACGCUCAUGUACGAAAGCGUGGGGAGCAAACGGGAUUAGAUACCCUGGUAGUCCACGCCGUAAACGAUGUCUACUAGAAGCUCGGAGCCUCGGUUCUGUUUUUCAAAGCUAACGCAUUAAGUUGACCGCCUGGGGAGUACGGCCGCAAGGUUAAAAC
This 896-nucleotide ribosomal RNA is filed under the name Pseudomonas sp. TAA207. RNAcentral describes it as "bacterial SSU rRNA". It matches the Rfam family "Bacterial small subunit ribosomal RNA", at positions 8 to 900 of the family's 1533-position model. The record is from RNAcentral. Lineage: Bacteria; Pseudomonadati; Pseudomonadota; Gammaproteobacteria; Pseudomonadales; Pseudomonadaceae.